Molecule: non-coding RNA, 148 nt
Filed under: Pan paniscus (pygmy chimpanzee)
Lineage: Eukaryota; Metazoa; Chordata; Mammalia; Primates; Hominidae
Also listed under: 1 other name
Source: Rfam by way of RNAcentral
GCCGAGUGUGGUAGCUCAUGCCUGUAACUCUAGCUACUUAGGAGGCUGAGGCAGGAGGAUCGCUUGAGCCCAGGGGUUUGAGACUGCAGUGAGCUAUGUAGCCACCACUGCACUCUAGCCUGGACAGCAGAGUGAGACCCUGUCUCUU